RNAcentral lists this ribosomal RNA (466 nucleotides) under uncultured bacterium. Its description in RNAcentral is "partial 16S ribosomal RNA". It matches the Rfam family "Bacterial small subunit ribosomal RNA", at positions 28 to 507 of the family's 1533-position model. The record is from RNAcentral.
GAUGAACGCUGGCGGCGUGCUUAACACAUGCAAGUCGAACGAUGAAGCCCAGCUUGCUGGGUGGAUUAGUGGCGAACGGGUGAGUAACACGUGAGUAACCUGCCCUUAACUCUGGGAUAAGCCUGGGAAACUGGGUCUAAUACCGGAUAGGAGCGUCCACCGUAUGGUGGGUGUUGGAAAGAUUUAUCGGUUUUGGAUGGACUCGCGGCCUAUCAGCUUGUUGGUGAGGUAAUGGCUCACCAAGGCGACGACGGGUAGCCGGCCUGAGAGGGUGACCGGCCACACUGGGACUGAGACACGGCCCAGACUCCUACGGGAGGCAGCAGUGGGGAAUAUUGCACAAUGGGCGCAAGCCUGAUGCAGCGACGCCGCGUGAGGGAUGACGGCCUUCGGGUUGUAAACCUCUUUCAGUAGGGAAGAAGCGAAAGUGACGGUACCUGCAGAAGAAGCACCGGCUAACUACGUG